UCUGUCACCUCAUCUGCUAUUCCCUGGAUACUUGGUUAGUCUAGAAAAUCCGAAAAAGGACGGGAUUUUAGAAGACUUGCUAUGCAAGAAUCGGCUAAUGAGAAAACGCCAUGGAGGCUGACUGCUGUAAUUACCUGCUGGUGCGUUACGCCUGUACGGGACUUCUGCAAAUGAUUGUUGGUUCUUUCAUUACUGAAUGCAUAUAAGAAUCUACUGCAAGCUGCUCCAUGAAGGAGGAACCUGACCUGAUAAGUUUCUUUAGGAAUCUGUUGUUCCUGUAAACCCGAGCUUGUUUGCUCUUCCCGAACAGAUCGGAAAGUUUCUUCAGAAAAUACAGUCCGGAAGAGCCCAAGGAAUCGAAUUUAACAUGGAUGUUUCUAAAGAUAUUAAAUGAGCAUGUGCAAUGAAUACUUGAAGAGCUUGACUAACUCUAAAUCCCCAUUGUAGACUGUCUUGGCAAGUGCUCUCUACUAUUUGAUCAGACUUCUGUGGCAGAGUUCUCCGAGUUUCGACGAAAUUUCAAAAACCUGACCUUGUUAGCAGAAAAAUUGCAAUUCUAUUUCGCAAUUGCAUGCGAAAGAUCUUGAUACAGACAUUCAAAUGAUUUCGAUUCUCUUUUGUCCAUUAGAUGUCUAAUUUUCAAUAUGUUAAUCGUUAAAAGUGUUAUGUGCAGUUUAUUGCAAAGUAGUGUAGAAAUCUCUUUCCAGUUCUGAAAGCCCGAAAUACUUCGAUUAAAGUUGGAUCUAAUAUCUCACUUCAUAACAUUCGCUUAAAAGAAACUCUUUAUAUUAAUCAAUAUAAAAAUCUUUAGAAGCAAUGCUCUCAGUGGCUUUCUCUAUUUUCUAUCUGGAAUUCAAACAUAUUUAAAUAUGGUAGGAAACAAAUUUACAUUCGUCUCCCCCCCCCCAAAAAAAAAAAUCUUCAUACCAUUAAGGUUA
Argiope bruennichi is the source of this 938-nucleotide long non-coding RNA. RefSeq lists it as uncharacterized. The record is from RefSeq and is a predicted model, not a curated record. Lineage: Eukaryota; Metazoa; Arthropoda; Arachnida; Araneae; Araneidae. The transcript is spliced from 3 exons.